RNAcentral lists this ribosomal RNA (3465 nucleotides) under Neurospora crassa. RNAcentral describes it as "large subunit ribosomal RNA". It matches the Rfam family "Bacterial large subunit ribosomal RNA". The record is from RNAcentral. Lineage: Eukaryota; Fungi; Ascomycota; Sordariomycetes; Sordariales; Sordariaceae.
AAAUGUAAUGGAUAUAAAGCUUAUGUUUAUAUAUAUAGACAUAUAUAAGUAUAUAAAGAGACUACUACCAAUAGCUACACUAUGUAUUAAGGAGAGUAUAACUUAAUUUAUGUUUAUGAUUUUAUCAUACCCCUAAAAAUGACACCGAGGAGCAAGGGUCGGGUUAGCAUCCUGGUUCGUACACCUUGGUGACCUAGGCUAGUACCAGGUCCCCCUCUAAGGGACUUGUCCCCCUCUAAGGGACUUGCGUCGGUCCUAUCCUAGGCCGAAUAGGUGAAUAAAUACUUACGGACGGCCUUGGUCUGUCCUAGAGGUUAUCAACAUAUGAACUCUUAGAGAAAUUACUUAAUAAACGAAGUGAAUUGAAAUAUCUUAUUAACUUCAGGAAAAGAAAUCAAACGAGAUUCUAUGAUUAGUGUGAACGAAAAUAGAGCAGCCUAUUAAAAUAAGUAAAAUGGCUUUAAAGCUGUUUGAAUAUUGUGGGGAACCUUCCUCAAAGGCUAAAUAUAAUACAUGAGUUACAGAGAAAAGUACCGUGAGGGAAAGCUUUGAAAUAGUAGUUUUAUAAGCAGCUCAAGCAAUAAGAAAGCGAGAGCGUACCUUUUGCAUAAUGGGUCACCAAGUUAAUUUUAGAUGCGAGCGAAUUUAUUUAUGUUUUUACUGAUUAAACAAUAUAAUGAAUCAUAAUUAUUUUUGUAACGAGUAUUAGUAUUAAAUCUUAAUUUAAUAUUAGUAUAAGUUUUCAGUAUGGCGGCUACAUAGCAUAAUCUAUGCAGCCAGCCAAUAAUUGGAUUUCCAAUCCAAUUUCGGUAAUAAAUAGAUGUGCAUAGUUAAACCGAUCAUUAAAAUAAUGAAUAGUGUCUAAAGUUAGACCCGAAGCCUGGUGAUCUUACUAUAGUCAGGACUAUAAAGGUCCGAACGGGUUAUCGUUGCAAAGAUAUCCGAAGAACUAUGGUAAGCGAGUGAAAGACAACACUGACUAGGAUAGCUGGUUUUCUGCGAAACCUAUAAUAGUAGGCAAUUUAAGUAACAUCUUAGUAGGUACAGAACUUAAUCUCAGACAAGAUGUAGAUUUUCAUACCUAUGUUUAGGUAUGAAAUGCAUUUUUUUUUGUAUACAUCGGGGGAUCGUGAAGAUUUUAUCGGUGAGUAUGUAGACUCGGAAUGACAAAGAUGAAUCUUGAAUAAUCAGACAUAGAAUGAUAAGGUUGUAUGUCAAAAGGGAAACAGCCCAGAACAAGAGUUAAGGUUCCAAAAUUAUUAUUAAGUGAAAUAAAGAAAGUUUUUAUAUAAGUCGACAAGAAGAUGGGCUUGGAAGCAGCCAUAAUUUAAAGAUCUCGUAACAGAGCACUUGUUAAAUCUUAAAAGCAUCGAAAAUUUAACGGAUCUAAAUAAUAUACCGAAACCUUGUCCAUAUGUAACAUUAGUAAUAAUAUGCUAUUAAUGUUAUUUGAUGGGGUAGCAGAACGUUGAGUGAAUCUUAGAUUUUUUUUUUAUAACUAAAUAUAGAUGAUAACUCAAGUGAGAAUGGUGACAUGAGUAACAAAAAAGAGUUUAAGGUACCUAAAAGGUAUCUUAGAGUCUCGCCUAAAGCUUAUGGCUACGUCAAGUAACGGCCUCUAAGUUUAUAAUCUGAAGAUUAUGACGAUGAGAAAAUAACGCGCAGAAGUGCGCUGCUUUGAUACUUAUGGUACCAACAUUUAAAAGUGAAAAUUGUGCAGGAAGGAUCAGUAUCCUUUCAUUCUUAUGUGGGGGAGUGGACAAAACUGAACAGAGUGUAUCUGAACACAGAUGAGUCCACACCCCCCCCCAUGUAAUGAAUGAAUGACAAACCGUACCUAGAAUCUGAAACAAGUAAGCUAGUAGAGAAUACGAAGGCGUGAAUGAGAUAACAAUCAUAAAGGAACUCGGCAAACUAACUACCGUAACUUAGGGAUAAGGAGAGCUCAUUAGUCUCGAUUAAUACGAGUAAAAAGGAAGAAGCAUGGAAUAUUGUUGUACGACUGUUUAAUUAAAACAAAGCACUUUGCAAAAAGACGAUAAGUCUAAGUAUUGAGUGUGAUUUCUGCCCGAUGCCGGCUGGUUAACGAAUUUUCUAAAUUGAAAAAAAAUUUGGUUUCAGAGGAACCCCCGGUUAAUGGCGGCCUUAGCGUGAGGGUCCUAAGGUAGCGAAAUGCCUUGGCCGUUAAAUGCGGUCUUGCAUGAAUGAUGUAACGAUACAACAGCUGUCUCUAUGAUUGACUCAGUGAAAUUGGAAUAACUGUGCAGAUACAGUUUACCUCUAGUUAGACGAGAAGACCCUAUGCAGCUUUACUGUUACUAAUUAUUGAAUACGAUUCUGAAAAUUUCCAGUGUAAAAGGUAAUCGAUAAGAUAUAAUUGAAACACCUUUAUUUUUCUAUCGUAUUAUUAAACCUUAAAUUAAGGAACAAUUGUUAGAAGACAGUUUAUGCGGGGCACAGGCCCCAUAAAGAGUAAAUGGGUGUGUCUAAAAUUUAUAAAUUUAUGUUUGCAAUUUUUUAUAGUGAUUAUAUAUCAAAUCAUCUUUAUGCUAUUCAUAGAGUGUAUUUAUUAUAUUCCUUGGGUACAGUAUAAAAAUUAUAUAUGUAUUAAUUUACAUAUAUUUUUUCUAAGAAAUUAGGUAAGAUUUUGUUUAUAGAGAAAUUAGAUGUAAAAAAAAAAUCUUAUGAGGGCGGUAUUUAAUAAUCCGCUUCUAAUAUUUUUUUGUAGUUAUUAUUAUAAAUUUAAUAAUAAUCAUGUUUAUUACUUAAAAAGCUUAAUGGCUUAAUCUUGCCUUACUGUUUGAUUAACAACAAAUCUUACAGUCGCGUAAGCGGGGCAUAGGAUCACAAGAUACAAAAAGGAAAGAUCUUGGAUUUUUGGAAAAGCUACGCUAGGGAUGAACAGGCUAAUUUGCGCAAGAGUGUACAAAAUGAGUGCGCGGUUUGGCACCUCGAUGUCGGCUUGACUAAUCCUCAUGGAUGCAGAAACUAUGUAGGGUACGACUGUUCGUCGAUUAAAAAGUUACAUGAGCUGGGUUAAAUACGUCGUGAGACAGUAUGGUUUCUAUCUUCUAGAGGGAAUUAGAAUAUAAUAAGGAUUAACCUUUGUACGAAAGGAACAUGGGGUACUAUUGUUAUACCUAGUUGUAUAACAGUUUUAUUAACCUCUGGUUUACCUGUUGUUUAUGUGCCUUAUAUUAAUUUCAUGUGUGAUGCUCCGCAAGGAUAUUACAGGGAUGUUACCGUCACUUGAGUAAAUACAAUAGCAUAAGCAUGGCAGGAAAGCUAAGUUAGUCAAAAAUAAGUGCUGAAAGCAUAUAGGCACGAAAUUUACCUUAAGAUAUUUCUUAAAUAUACGUAAGAAAAUAUUACGUUAAUAGGCUUAGUUUGUAAUAAUCUAGAGAUUUUAAGGAACUAAGUACUAAUUUUAUAAAAAACUGAAUGAUUAAUAUAUCUUACAUUUUC